AGGAUGCCAGAAGAGAGCGUGGCCUCACGUGUACCAGCUCUCUGCUCUCCUUUGCCUUGGGACGUUCCAUCCCUGGAAGUUUCCCUGCCCACAUCUUUGUAGAGAGUCCAUUCUCCAAGCUUCAGUGUGUCAUCUGUGAGGACCGUGACCCACCUGGUACAUCGCCUCAGGGCAUUCAUUUCAGGCUCCUUCUAAAUGGCCAAGAUCUUGCUUUCUUUUGUAUGUUUGCAAAGAAUAUAUAGUACACUUCCUUGAUCUGUGGUUCCUAAAGUGUGAUUCCCAACAAGCAGCAUCAGGAUCAUCUGGAAACUUGAUAGAAAUGUAAAUUCUACAGUCCCUCCUUGGAGCUACAGAUUCAGAAAUUCUGAAGUUUAAGUCCAGCAGUUGGUUAUAAUAAGCUCUCUAGGUGAUUCUGACUUGCACCAAGGCACCCUUGGAAAUGCAAUGCUACAUCUCAAUGGGAUUUUCCAGUACAAAGAUUCUUUUCAAAUAACAUAAUUGUGGAUACACACCACUCCUACAGUGCUGCACUGAUGAGGAAACUGAAACAGAAAAUCCAGAGUAAAUUCCACCAGGCCACACAGCAAGGUCUGAUAGAGCCAGGAGAGACUUUAUGAAAUCCAGACUCUCACACUAAUGCUCUAUCAGCUAGACCUCCAUGUGAGUCUCCCCAAUGUAGGUAGGAAGUGC
RNAcentral lists this long non-coding RNA (690 nucleotides) under Homo sapiens (human). Its description in RNAcentral is "testis expressed 41". The record is from RNAcentral. Lineage: Eukaryota; Metazoa; Chordata; Mammalia; Primates; Hominidae.